AAUGGGGGAAACCCUGAUGCAGCGAUGCCGCGUGAGAGAAGAAGGCCCUUGGGUUGUAAAACUCUUUCGUCGGGGAAGAAAAUGACUGUACCCGAAUAAGAAGGUCCGGCUAACUUCGUGCCAGCAGCCGCGGUAAUACGAAGGGACCUAGCGUAGUUCGGAAUUACUGGGCUUAAAGAGCUCGUAGGUGGUUAAAAAAGUUGAUGGUGAAAUCCCAAGGCUCAACCUUGGAACUGCCAUCAAAACUUUUUAGCUAGAGUGUGAUAGAGGUAAGUGGAAUUUCUAGUGUAGAGGUGAAAUUCGUAGAUAUUAGAAAGAACACCAAAUGCGAAGGCAACUUACUGGGUCACUACUGACACUGAGGAGCGAAAGCAUGGGUAGCGAAGAGGAUU
This 392-nucleotide ribosomal RNA is filed under the name uncultured Gammaproteobacteria bacterium. RNAcentral's name for it is "bacterial SSU rRNA". It matches the Rfam family "Bacterial small subunit ribosomal RNA", at positions 370 to 779 of the family's 1533-position model. Lineage: Bacteria; Pseudomonadati; Pseudomonadota; Gammaproteobacteria. The record is from RNAcentral.